CCAAAUUUUUUUUUUUUUUGAAAAUCCUGACCCUCAGGGUCUGUCAGAUCUACCACAAAUACAGAAAAUCCACUGUUCACACGAACUGAGUCUCCCCUGUAUUUGCACGGCAUUGCAUAAGUACAAGAUACAAGAUUUACCGUAUAGGAUAUAACCACACAUAUGCACAUAUACAUAAUCAAACACCAUUCACAAUCAUAUUCAGAAUCAGAGCUAUUCAUAAAUUCACAACUAUUAGUUUAAAAUGUUUCCCACCCGGAAACUCGUUUUAAAACACUAAAUCAUGAAAACCAAGAAAAUCUUUUAAAAACUGUUUCCCACACGGAAACCUUUUCCUUUUAAAACUCGCUACCACGAGGGGUAGAAAAACCAAUUCCAUUUCACAAAAAUCCACAAAUCCUUUAUUACAUUCAUAAACCCGUAUGAAUUCAAAAAUAAUAAGUCACUGAACCAAUUAACUAUCUAAGUCAAUUAUUUUAAGAAGCUGAGUUUGAGAAUUAACCAAACAACGGGACGGUGGCACUGUCGAUCG
This 532-nucleotide long non-coding RNA is filed under the name Ananas comosus (pineapple). RNAcentral describes it as "long non-coding RNA (ACOM_LNC005581)". Lineage: Eukaryota; Viridiplantae; Streptophyta; Magnoliopsida; Poales; Bromeliaceae. The record is from RNAcentral.